AGACAAAUGAAAUCAAUAUCCAUAUUUGAAGUUAAAUAUCCUUUAGGUAUCCAAAACAAGCUAGGAUACAAGGCAGACAGCAGUUAAGCGGCAACAAAUAUAUUCCUACCACUUCAAAGAUCUGAUAAUUUCAAAUCUUGACGUAACUUUGUCCACACUAUGUGCUAAGCACAAGGAACUUUACCAAAGCUCCAUAAAAAUGGCAU
RNAcentral lists this unclassified non-coding RNA (206 nucleotides) under Hevea brasiliensis (rubber tree). Lineage: Eukaryota; Viridiplantae; Streptophyta; Magnoliopsida; Malpighiales; Euphorbiaceae. The record is from RNAcentral.